Molecule: ribosomal RNA, 197 nt
Filed under: uncultured bacterium
Lineage: Bacteria
Description: partial 16S ribosomal RNA
Rfam family: Bacterial small subunit ribosomal RNA
Source: RNAcentral
ACGCUCGACACCUACGGGAGCAGCAGUGGGGAAUAUUGCACAAUGGGGGAAACCCUGAUGCAGCGACGCCGCGUGAGUGAAGAAGUAUUUCGGUAUGUAAAGCUCUAUCAGCAGGGAAGAAAAUGACGGUACCUGGGUAAGAAGCCCCGGCUAACUACGUGUCAGCAGCCGCGGUAAUCUGAGCGGGCUGGCAAGGC